AAAGGACCUAGCAAUAGGUAUGCUUAGGGAGGAGCUUGCGUCACAUUAGUUAGUUGGUGGGGUAAAGGCCUACCAAGACUAUGAUGUGUAGCCGGGCUGAGAGGUUGAACGGCCACAUUGGGACUGAGACACGGCCCAAACUCCUACGGGAGGCAGCAGUAGGGAAUUUUCGGCAAUGGAGGAAACUCUGACCGAGCAACGCCGCGUGAACGAUGAAGUAUUUCGGUACGUAAAGUUCUUUUAUUAGGGAAGAAUAAAUGAUGGAAAAAUCAUUCUGACGGUACCUAAUGAAUAAGCCCCGGCUAACUAUGUGCCAGCAGCCGCGGUAAUACAUAGGGGGCAAGCGUUAUCGGAAUUAUUGGGCGUAAAGGGUGCGUAGGCGGUUAAAUAAGUUUAUGGUCUAAGUGCAAUGCUCAACAUUGUGAUGCUAUAAAAACUGUUUAGCUAGAGUAAGAUAGAGGCAAGUGGAAUUCCAUGUGUAGUGGUAAAAUGCGUAAAUAUAUGGAGGAACACCAGUAGCGAAGGCGGCUUGCUGGGUCUUUACUGACGCUGAGGCACGAAAGCGUGGGGAGCAAACAGGAUUAGAUACCCUGGUAGUCCACGCCGUAAACGAUGAGUACUAAACGUUGGGUAAAACCAGUGUUGAAGUUAACACAUUAAGUACUCCGCCUGAGUAGUACGUACGCAAGUAUGAAACUUAAAGGAAUUGACGGGACUCCGCACAAGCGGUGGAUCAUGUUGUUUAAUUCGAAGGUACCCGAAAAACCUCACCAGGUCUUGACAUGCUUCUGCAAAGCU
RNAcentral lists this ribosomal RNA (798 nucleotides) under Cassava witches'-broom aster yellows phytoplasma. Its description in RNAcentral is "bacterial SSU rRNA". It matches the Rfam family "Bacterial small subunit ribosomal RNA", at positions 202 to 999 of the family's 1533-position model. Lineage: Bacteria; Bacillati; Mycoplasmatota; Mollicutes; Acholeplasmatales; Acholeplasmataceae. The record is from RNAcentral.